CGUUUUUCGGCGUUGUUUUGGAUGGGGUCUAGCGAAACAAACCAAAAUGAGUUAAAAUUAUCAAGAAUUCUCCGCGCGUUUUUCUGAAUUUCCAGGUUGUCAUAGUCGAGGGAUCCCUUGGACAAAUGAGGUAUGACCUCAUGCUAUCAGAAUGUUGGCGCGGGUCAUGGCAACUGCUGGUAGGAAAGCUCACAUUCCCCAUCCUCCAAGGUCAAAAUCCACUAGUUCUAAACCCAGCCAGCCACAAGUACGCACACUAAAGACUACAUCUUCACCUGCUCCUAUCCCUAAGGUGAAGUCUGAUGUUGGACUGGCUAAUGGAGUCAGAAAUCUUUCAAUACAGGAGAGGAAGAAGAAUCUGCCACCCAGGCCAACAAAAACUGCUGUUGCUGGUUCUGUGCGUAGGACUGGCUCAGUAACAACCUCCAGUGCCAUCUGUAAUAACUUGGAGGAUGUGUCCAGAUACAUCAGGGAAGGCAGGGCUAAGAACAUUGUGGUGAUGGCAGGGGCUGGGAUCAGCACACCUAGUGGGAUACCCGACUUCAGGUCCCCAGGAACAGGCCUAUAUGACAACUUACAACAGUAUAACAUCCCAUAUCCAGAGGCGAUAUUUGAUAUUGAUUACUUCCAUAUGAAUCCACGUCCAUUUUUUGCCUUAUCCAAAGAACUCUACCCAAGUGGAAAGUACAGACCUAACUACAUCCAUUAUUUUAUGCGCUUGCUGCAUGAUAAAGGACUACUGCACAGAAUGUAUACUCAGAAUAUUGAUGGACUAGAAAGAUUGGCUGGUAUUCCUAGUGAGAAGCUAGUGGAGGCUCACGGUACAUUUAGCACUGCCACCUGUAUUAGAUGUAAUCUUGAGCACCGAGGAGAUGAGAUUAAGGAUGCUAUAUUCUCUGAUAAGCUUCCAAAGUGCAAAAAGACAAACUGUCUGGGAAUUGUUAAACCUGAUAUUGUGUUCUUUGGAGAAGAACUUCCCAGGAGGUUUUAUUAUUACCUGAAAGAUUUUCCCCAGGCAGAUCUUGUAUUGGUGCUGGGGACAUCUCUAGAGGUGGAGCCAUUUGCUAGUAUAGUGGAUGCCAGCAGGUCCUAUAUCCCCAGAGUGCUGUUCAACAGGGAGGCUGUGGGGCCUUUUAAGAGGAAGAGAAGGAACAAUGAUGUUGUUUCAGAAGGGGAUCUAAUAGCUAAUGUGCAGAAGUUUGUUAGAAUACUGGAAUGGCAAAAAGAUAUGGAAUAUCUGAUGAAAGAGAAUGAGAAACUCCUAGAUGAGCAAGUGUCAGCAGGCACACUAAGUAGCAGUGGAUCUACACCCAGUGGUGGCAAUAAAGGAGAUGGUAAAGAUGGCAGCGCCUGUCAGAAUGGUAAUAGUGGUAAUCUGACUGGAAUCACAAGGCCAACCAACAGAAAUAUGCACACAUUUUCACGCAAUGGACCCAGUUAUGGUUUUAUCAACAGGAAGGGUGCCUCCAGCACACAUUCACUGCCACCUAUUAGCAAAAUGCAGAACUACAGAUCCCCCAGGACUAUUAGUUCAUCCAGCAGCAGUGAAGAAGAAAGUGAAAGUGACACUAGUUCAGAUGAUUCUGAUGCAUAAGAACACCUUGACUGAUAUAAGUUAAGUGGGUGAAGUUAACAAAAAAGACAUUUAGACAUUUAAAGACAUUUUGGCAUUAAACUUCAGUGUAGGUCAACCCUGUUUCAUCAGUGAGAAGACAGACCCGAUGCUUGUAGAGUUAUUCAAACAUAAACAUGUCUUAGUACAGGUGAAAAUCAUCUUAUAUAAAGGAAUUGUCACUAAGAAACUGUUCAGCUGAUGAAUUACAAUACCUGCACUGUCAUGUGAUUUUUAUUCUGAAUGAUAGAGGAGGUAAGAAGAAUAUAUUGACUUGGUGCAUCAUUGUAAUGCUAAUGUUAUAUAUACCGGUGACAGUGUUCUUAAUUCACAGGUCGGUUUUUUUUUUUUUUAUUGAAGAAAUCUUUUUUGGGCUUCAGCCUGAGUUUCAGAGUCUGUUGGAAACAUAUCUCCCUAACAAUACUAGUAUACUUAGAAAAGGAAAGUAAUUUCUGUAUACUGAAAUGCAGGGCUGUCAAUAUAGAUGAAGAGUAAAAUUUUAGGAAGUCUUUUUCUGAUAGGGACAGUAAAGACAUAUCAGAUACAAGUAUGAUAAAAAUAUUUGAAAGAGACCAACAAUGUUGUACACAAAGGGUUCAUGUAUUUUCAGAGAAGCAGUGUUGAACAUCAUUAAUCACUGUAACAGUUUGUAUGUUAAGUUAAUUCACUAUAUUGUGGCACUUUCUUUCAAAUGAUGCCAUUAUAUAGUAUAAUUUUCACUACGAUACAGGGAGAGUUGUUUGCCACAUUUUUUUUGUGUGUGUGUGUUUUUAGUACUGUACUUUGUUCCAUAUGUAACCCUUGGAACUGUCUGUUCAUUGGCCUAGUGGUGUAUUUCCCAUUUUAAAACUUCUCAUUAAAAAUACAACCUCCAUUCAAGAGAAAUCAGGUCACUGGUUGUCUGUAUGAAUCAUUAAUAAUUAAGUGUAUGCAGGUAAACAAUUUCAGAGCUGCGGGCACAAGAAAGAGCUAUUAAAAACGUUUUUGCAUAUAGAAUUUAUUUGUUGCAAAUGGAAGUUUGUUUUAACUGACUGGUUGCUUUCAGACUGCUGUAUCCACUACGUUAGGCAAACUUAAAGGUCAAGGCCAUUAAAACAGCUGAACACAGUAUAGUAGGACCUACUCAAAAGGAGAUUAUACUUAGAAGAACAUUCGUCAUCUGAAUAUCAUCACGAAACAAGAGAAUAGACCGAGUUUUUCAGAUAACCUUUCGUCCGGGACGCCUGUGAAUGCGACAUCCUGUAAAAUACAUCAUUGGCACUUUAAAACAAUCCGUGUUUUGUUGUUGCUGAAAAACUCCGAAAACUGUGCGAGACGGGUAUCCUUCUCCUUUACAAAUAACGCAGCGGAUAAAAGGGAAAGGAAACGUGAUUGAAUCUACGCUUGGAUAACAAUGUUAUCAAGAUAUUUCCAUUGUAAUGUCAGGAGAUUUAUAAAUCAUUAAACCUGAAAGGAUCCAGAAGCACCGUCAUCUUAUACAUUCGUAAAAGUGCCAAUGGAUAAAGUUUUUGUGAGCAAAGUUUUCACUGCUGUGGGGUGCUGUAUCGCUUUGCUAGGACUUUUUAUAUGUCUAGGAUUAUACUGUGUAUACCGAAUGCGAAAAGCCUAUGCGAAAAAGAGACAAUCUUGCUCAGGAUGUAGAGGACAGAAUGACUGCGUAACUCCACAGAACACCAACGUUGCCGUCAUCACGACAAAUUGCGAUAGGUGUGAAAGUGGUUGUCAGUGUGGUUGUACUUGUGAUCAACAAUCGCAUUUCCACACCCCGCCACCUCCUCCGUAUUGGGAAAUAACGCGGGAAGCGUCGAUCCAGGAGGACCCGGACCCAGCUUCGAACCAGUAUCCCCCUACAUACGACGCCAUGUUUGGUGAAAACGUCACUGAAAAUCACGAAACGCCAAUUUUGUUACACCCGUCUUUAAACGAGGGUUUGCACCCGCCUGCUCAAAAUGAAAUUGUAACGACUCACGUGAAUACUGCUUUUGAUGGUGCGAUAUUGUAAAGAUGAUCUUUGGAGAAGAAUUCCUCUUGUGUAGGCACUGCAGUGUUUUCUGAUCAGCCAAAACAAUUACUGAAACUUCUGUGAUUAAUAACAGCGUGAAGAUAAACUUCAUCACUUUCAUUCCAUUUUAAUGCUCGAUAAAUGUGACUAACGUGUAGAUUUAAUGCAUGUUAUUCAAAAUUCUAUUAAACGAUGUCAUAAUCCGUCUGAUUUUGUUACAGUGGACAGAAGAAGACUUUUUCCAUCGAAUUCCAAAGAUACAAAAUUUACCUAAUGAGACAAACAUUAAAAAAAUAGGCGAAGCUUGCCUUAUACGAUUUUGAAUGUGGAUUUAGAAACAUUGUUUUUAAAUUUACCUUUUUACCAGGUUUUAUUGCAGGGAUCAGCAAUAAAGAUGUUAUGUAUUUGAAAAUUUAUACAAUAAUCCA
Molecule: unclassified non-coding RNA, 4042 nt
Organism: Lingula anatina
Lineage: Eukaryota; Metazoa; Brachiopoda; Lingulata; Lingulida; Lingulidae
Source: RefSeq, a predicted model, not a curated record